UGACCUCGGAUCAAGUGGGGAUACCCGCUGAACUUAAGCAUAUCAAUAAGCGGAGGAA
This 58-nucleotide ribosomal RNA is filed under the name Chaenotheca gracillima. RNAcentral's name for it is "partial 28S ribosomal RNA". It matches the Rfam family "Eukaryotic large subunit ribosomal RNA", at positions 1 to 58 of the family's 3401-position model. The record is from RNAcentral. Lineage: Eukaryota; Fungi; Ascomycota; Coniocybomycetes; Coniocybales; Coniocybaceae.